CAGCCCUAAACGACGCGCGUUAGGUGUAUCGGUGACCACGAGUCACCGAGGUGCCGAAGGGAAACCGUGAAACGUGCCGCCUGGGAAGUACGGUCGCAAGGCUGAAACUUAAAGGAAUUGGCGGGGGGAGCACCACAACGGGUGGAGCCUGCGGUUUAAUUGGACUCAACGCCGGGAAGCUCACCGGAUAAGACAGCUGAAUGAUAGUCGGGAUGAAGACUCUACUUGACUAGCUGAGAGGAGGUGCAUGGCGUAGUCGUGU
Molecule: ribosomal RNA, 262 nt
Filed under: uncultured archaeon
Lineage: Archaea
Description: partial 16S ribosomal RNA
Rfam family: Archaeal small subunit ribosomal RNA
Source: RNAcentral